Long non-coding RNA from Xiphophorus couchianus (Monterrey platyfish), 808 nucleotides. RefSeq lists it as uncharacterized. Lineage: Eukaryota; Metazoa; Chordata; Actinopteri; Cyprinodontiformes; Poeciliidae. The transcript has 2 exons. The record is from RefSeq and is a predicted model, not a curated record.
AAUGUGUCAUGGUGGGUGAUAGCCGGGUUACCCACAUGCAAGAACACACCAAGAGAAGCGAUAUGAAACAACAAUAAUAUUUAUUUUGGUGAAAGGAAGAGGGGUCAGGGGAAAUAGUUCUGGAACCUGGGACUGGAGGAAACUGGUCAUCAGACUGUAUAUGAGAAAAAGCGGAGUGAGACACGGGAUGGGUCAAAUGGAAUAAUUCUGAGAAUCUUUCGUAGGACGCUUACUUGAAUGCGGAGGUUAGUAUUGUCAAUGGUGGCGGCUGGAGAAGUGAGUUACCGUCGGAGAGCGAGCAGGUAAGCCUUGCAGCUGGAGAGCAGAGUGAGCUGACUUCCGAGCGGGGCUUCGACAGUUAGCUCCCGGAACAUGAAACGCUGGCAGGCUCAGCCGGUGGCGAGGCACAGAGGAUCCAUGGGGAGGGACCAGGGAGGUAAGUGCACGGAGGAAGGCAACCGAUUGGUAAUACCAAUGGCGUCGUGAGGAACACAAGGAAAUCCAGGGGGGAGCGCUUGUCCACAUCCAGGAGUCACAGGGCGAUCACAAGGAAAUCUGACGGGGAGAACACAAGGAGCGAUCAGAACACAGGGAGCGAUCAUAGAAGGCUUCUUCCUAAGAAAAACGUCUACCAGUGAAGGCAACACUCAGGCACUGGAGUGUCAGCUAGGCUGUCCUUAUGAAGCACCUCCGCAGCUCUCGAAAAUUAGACACAGGUGCGUCUACAGGUUGGCCGCCACACUUCUCCACGGGCUCCGCUCACUGGUGACAUCUGAUGGCUGUUAAAGGAAACGCAGCUUCCCAGAAA